UCUGAUUGGACGAGCAGUUUCAGCACAACUAGCACCAACUCGGUCAGUGUAGUUCAUAAACAAUUCAGCUUCCUAUCGGCUUCUCGGUUGAAUUAUUAUAUUCUUCGAAGUUCUGAGGAAAUCUCGUCGAAACUGUCUUGAGUUUCGUCUGAAUGGCUGAAUCCUCCGUUACAGACACAUCGAAGUUGAAUCCAGAGUCUGCCGAGUUUGUACCACAAGCUAAAACCACCCAGCCCUACUCUAGGAGAAGUUACAGGCAGCAGCACCACACUCAGGACUGGAGGGCUCAACAUGUUCGGCCUCAUCAUCACAUUAGACCGUCCGAUGAGACUAAGCUCAGUCAAGAUGAGUCUGACAACCCUGACAAUAAUGCAUUACUGCCUCCUGAACUUCCCAUCAGAGGAGAUGUAAGAGGUAGAGGAAGAGGAGGAAGACAAAGAGGAGGACGCGGUGAUGUUAGGCGCAUUAAUGACCGUCACGCUCCAAGCGAGAGAUCGACAAAACCUGGAAGUGAUAAUGACUCCUCAGGAUGGGAACACAGAGCUUGUGACCGUGAGCGACCCAACUCACCCACUUCUAAUAGAUCCACAGAUGAGGAUAAGAAAGAAAGAUCAGCUGUGGAAGCCAAUGUAAAAGUGUCUUAUCAAGCUAGCCGACGUAAACAGAUCAAUAAAGCAAGAGCAGAUAGAUCGAUAAAGGAGCCUCAGCCCAAGGACCAAGUGGAGAACCGGGAAAACCAGGCUGAUGCAGGAGUCACAAGGCCUGCAGCAGUUCAUGAACAUCCAGAGCCUGAGCAGAGGAACUUUAAGGGUUGGAGAGGUGGAGAUCGCCGCAUGCAGCCCAGUUCCUGGAGGAAAGGUCCGGCCCCUAGCCAUGGGAUUGAGGGUAACUGGAGAGAAAGAGAACCUGCUCAGAUCAGAGAGGAUGAGAGGAGAGGUGCAGAAGAUGAGGGCAGAAGACAAGAGGAGUCCAGCAGAAACAGAGGAGCUGUGAGAGGGGAGGAGAGGAGAGGUGUAGAAGAUGAGGGCAGAAGACAAGAGGAGUCCAGCAGAAACAGAGGAGCUGUGAGAGGGGAGGAGAGGAGAGGUGUAGAAGAUGAGAGCAGAAGACAAGAGGAGUCCAGCAGAAACAGAGGAGCUGUGAGAGGGGAUGAGAGGAGAGGUGCAGAAGAUGAGAGCAGAAGACAAGAGGAGUCCAGCAGAAACAGAGGAGCUGCGAGAGGGGAGGAGAGGAGAGGUGUAGAAGAUGAGGGCAGAAGACAAGAGGAGUCCAGCAGAAACAGAGAAGCUGUGAGAGGGGAGGAGAGGAGAGGUGCAGAAGAUGAGAGCAGAAGACACGAGGAGUCCAGCAGAAACAGAGGAGCUGUGAGAGGGGAGGAGAGGAGAGGUGUAGAAGAUGAGAGCAGAAGACACGAGGAGUCCAGCAGAAACAGAGGAGCUGUGAGAGGGGAGGAGAGGAGAGGUGCAGAAGAUGAGGGCAGAAGACAAGAGGAGUCCAGCAGAAACAGAGGAGCUGUGAGAGGGGAGGAGAGGAGAGGUGUAGAAGAUGAGGGCAGAAGACAAGAGGAGUCCAGCAGAAACAGAGGAGCUGCGAGAGGGGAGGAGAGGAGAGGUGCAGAAGAUGAGAGCAGAAGACACGAGGAGUCCAGCAGAAACAGAGGAGCUGUGAGAGGGGAGGAGAGGAGAGGUGUAGAAGAUGAGAGCAGAAGACACGAGGAGUCCAGCAGAAACAGAGGAGCUGUGAGAGGGGAGGAGAGGAGAGGUGCAGAAGAUGAGGGCAGAAGACAAGAGGAGUCCAGCAGAAACAGAGGAGCUGUGAGAGGGGAGGAGAGGAGAGGUGUAGAAGAUGAGGGCAGAAGACAAGAGGAGUCCAGCAGAAACAGAGGAGCUGCGAGAGGGGAGGAGAGGAGAGGUGCAGAAGAUGAGGGCAGAAGACAAGAGGAGUCCAGCAGAAACAGAGGAGCUGCGAGAGACAGAGGAGCUGUGAGAGGGGAGGAGAGGAGAGGUGCAGAAGAUGAGAGCAGAAGACACGAGGAGUCCAGCAGAAACAGAGGAGCUGUGAGAGGGGAGGAGAGGAGAGGUGCAGAAGAUGAGAGCAGAAGACAAGAGGAGUCCAGCAGAAACAGAGGAGCUGCGAGAGGGGAGGAGAGGAGAGGUGCAGAAGAUGAGAGCAGAAGACACGAGGAGUCCAGCAGAAACAGAGGAGCUGCGAGAGACAGAGGAGCUGCGAGAGGGGAGGAGAGGAGAGGUGUAGAAGAUGAGAGCAGAAGACAAGAGGAGUCCAGCAGAAACAGAGGAGCUGUGAGAGGGGAGGAGAGGAGAGGUGUAGAAGAUGAGGGAGGAAGACACGAGGAGUCCAGCAGGAACAGAGGAGCUGCGAGAGACAGAGGAGCUGUGAGAGGGGAGGAGAGGAGAGGUGUAGAAGAUGAGAGCAGAAGACAAGAGGAGUCCAGCAGAAACAGAGGAGCUGUGAGAGGGGAGGAGAGGAGAGGUGUAGAAGAUGAGGGAGGAAGACACGAGGAGUCCAGCAGAACCAGAGGAGCUGCGAGAGGGAAAAGGCCACUAAUACAGAAUCCAGGGUUGAGGAGAGGAGCAGGUCCAGAGCGACGGACCGGACUGGUGAAGCACGUGGAGCCUCCCAAAAGCAAAGAAACCCAGACAGGUUGUCUAAUUGAGCAGCUGACGGAGGAGAAGUAUGAGUGUAUGGUCUGUUGUGAAGUGAUUCGGGUCAUGGCUCCAGUUUGGAGCUGUCAGAGCUGUUACCACGUAUUUCACCUUAACUGCAUCAAGAAAUGGGCUCGCUCCCCAGCAUCUCAAGCUGAUGAUGGCAGUGAAGGUUGGCGUUGUCCUGCAUGCCAGCAUGUGGCUCUCAAAGCCCCUAAUGCAUACUCCUGCUUCUGUGGAAAGGUGACCAAUCCUGAGUUUCAGCGCACUGAGAUCCCUCAUAGCUGUGGAGAUAUGUGUGGGAAAAAGCGGAGUGGAGGGGAAUGCAAUCACCCCUGUAACAUCUUGUGCCAUCCUGGGCCCUGCCCACAGUGUCCAGCUUUUAUCACAAAGUCCUGCAUUUGUGGUAAAAUGAGAAAGCAGGUUCGUUGCAGUCAGACAGGACCUCUGCUUUGUGAGGAGGUCUGUGGAGCUCCUCUGAACUGCUCCGAGCACUUCUGUGCCCAGGUGUGCCAUUCAGGGCCAUGCCAACCCUGUCAACUUCGUGUUCAGCAAGCCUGCUUCUGUGGAGUGGCAUUCAGGGAGGUGGCGUGUGGGACUGAUCGGGAAAAGUUUGAUGGAUCAGGACAUUUCUCCUGUUGCAAGCCCUGUGGAAAGAUGCUUGACUGCCAGUCCCAUCGCUGUCAGCAGAUCUGCCAUCCUGGGCAGUGUCAGUCAUGUCCACUCAGCCCCAAGCUGGUGCACAGUUGUUCAUGUGGACAGACUCCAUUAUCUAAGCUUCUGGAGCUUGGCUAUCCAGAGAGAAAGAGCUGUACUGACCCGAUCCCCUCCUGUGGCAAGACCUGCAACAAGCCGCUGCCAUGUGGAGAUGGUGAUUCUGUCCACUUGUGUGAAAAGCUCUGCCAUGAGGACAGCUGUGGCCCGUGCUCUUUGACCUCAUCUAUUAAAUGCAGAUGUGGCAGCAACAGCAAGGAAGUUCCUUGUGCGGCCAUUCAGACUGAACAAGACAUGGUGUUUACGUGUGAGAAACGCUGCAACAAGAAGCGCUCCUGCGGCAGGCACAAGUGUGGAGAGUUGUGUUGUGUGGAUGUGGAGCAUAAGUGCUCAAUGAUUUGUGGUUACAAACUCAAUUGCGGUCUUCACCGAUGCCAGGACGUUUGUCACCGUGGGAACUGCCAGCCUUGUUGGCAAACUAGUUUUGAUGAGUUGGCGUGCUACUGUGGGGAGACUGUGCUCUUCCCGCCCAUCCCUUGUGGAACGAGACCUCCUGAAUGUAAAAACUUAUGUACCCGAAGUCAUGAUUGUGAUCAUCCAGUGUUCCAUUCAUGCCAUAGUGAGGAGAGAUGUCCUCCCUGUACCUACCUCACCAAGAAGUGGUGCAUGGGUAAUCAUGAGCAAAGGAGUAAUAUCCCAUGCCACCUGCAGGACAUCUCGUGUGGUUUAGUGUGUGACAAGCUCUUACCCUGUGGUUCUCAUCACUGUAAGAAAAUAUGUCACCGUGGGGAAUGCCAGGCAGAAGGAGAGUGUAAGCAGCCAUGCACUCACCCUAGAGCUAGCUGUGGACACCCCUGUGCUGCUCCGUGCCACCCAGGCACCCCCUGUCCACCCACCAUCUGCAGUGCCAAGGUGGCACUGCAGUGUGACUGUGGCCGAAAGAAAGAGACCGUUCCUUGUGCUGAUGCAGCCAGUUCCUACCAAAGAUAUGCAGCUAUUGCCGUUGCCAGUAAGCUGUCAGAUAUGCAGCUGGGAGAGUCCGUUGACAUUGGACCGCUCACAAAGAAAGAGCAGAGAAAGGCCAGGUUGGAGUGUGAUCAAGAAUGUGCUGCACUGGAGAGGAACAGGCGGCUGGCUGAGGCCCUGCAGAUUGAUCUGUCAGUGGAUCCCUUCAACAAGUCGGCGUCUUCCAAAUAUAGUGACUCUCUGAAAGAAGAUGCAAGGAAAGAUUUCAAGUUUGUUAGUGAAAUUGAAGAGGAGAUUAAGAAUUUAGUUGAACUGGUCAACAAGGGUAAACAGCCUAAAAGGAGUCACUGUUUUCCACCUAUGAAGCGCGAACAUCUGAGAAUUAUCCAUGAGCUAGCGGAGGCAUAUGGUGUGGAAACCGUCAGCUAUGAUAGCGAACCCAAGCGCAAUGUUGUGGUUACUGCCGUCAGGUCAAAAGAAACUCAGAUUUUAGAUUCGGCUUCCAACUGUAAUAGUGAAUACUAUUCUUUUUGGGGAAAUCAGUGUGUCCUAACACCAGUCUGGCUGCUUUGAUUGAAAGGGAAACUGUUUCCAGAGCUCCUCCUCCUAUUGCCCACAUCAAACAACACACAAGCAAGGCCGACAAUAGUAAUGCUUGGAUGAAUCAAUCUAAAGAGGAGCCCACAAUUGAUUAUUUUGAUGUACAGGAUUGACAUGAAAUUCUGAAUAGUCACUAUAAUAAUCACACAAAAUAAAACUGUCCGAAAAGAAUAGCAUUACAAUUCUGAAUAAAAAUGGUGAGGAUCUAAACCUAUGAUUUGUGGACCUGUUUGUUAGGAGCAACUAAGGAGCAAAUAUCUAGGAGUAAAAAUGUAUGUGGUUUCUGUGCACAUAUUAACUUGGGGGGAAAAAAGAAUUGUGGUAUGAAUUUGUAUUCUGAGACUGGACUUAGACAUUAUCAGUGACCUUGACAGUGUCAUCUUACACAAGUGUCAGGAGUGAAGUUGGACAUGAUCUGCAUCAGGAAGGUUGUUGGUAGUAAUUUCGUUUUACCAUACUUUGUUAAAGAAGGUGAAAAUAACUGUGCAUCUCAGCUCCAAUAAAUACUUCUGAAAGCACAA
Carassius auratus (goldfish) is the source of this 5464-nucleotide RNA transcript. It is a transcript of the gene named nuclear transcription factor, X-box binding 1, with no coding region annotated. The record is from RefSeq and is a predicted model, not a curated record. NCBI's taxonomy places the organism in Eukaryota, Metazoa, Chordata, Actinopteri, Cypriniformes, Cyprinidae. The transcript has 24 exons.